This is a non-coding RNA of Ciona savignyi (Pacific transparent sea squirt), 82 nucleotides long. The record is from Rfam. NCBI's taxonomy places the organism in Eukaryota, Metazoa, Chordata, Ascidiacea, Phlebobranchia, Cionidae.
GUCGUCGUGGCCGAGUGGUUAAAGCGACAGACUUGAAAUCUGUUGGGCUCUGCCCGCACAGGUUCGAAUCCUGUCGGCGACG